GAUGAACGCUGGCGGCGUGCCUAAUACAUGCAAGUCGAGCGAACGGACGAGAAGCUUGCUUCUCUGAUGUUAGCGGCGGACGGGUGAGUAACACGUGGUUAACCUACCUAUAAGACUGGGAUAACUUCGGGAAACCGGUGCUAAUACCGGAUAAUAUUUUGAACCGCAUUGUUCAAAAGUGAAUUACGGUCUUUCUGUCACUUAUAGAUGGAUCCCCGCUGCAUUAGCUAGUUGGUAAGGUAACGGCUUACCAAGGCAACGAUGCAUAGCCGACAUGAGAGGGGGAUAGGAAAAACGGGAACGGAGAAACGGACCAGACACCUACGGGAGGCAGCAGUAGGGAAUAGUCCGCAAGGGGGGAAAGCAUGACGGAGCAAAGCCGAGUGAGUGAUGAAGGUCUGCGGAUCGGAAAACAAUGUAAUUAGGGAAGAACAAAAGUGUAAGUAACUGGGAACAUCUUGACGGUACCUAAUCAGAAAGCCACGGCUAACUACGUG
This 497-nucleotide ribosomal RNA is filed under the name uncultured bacterium. RNAcentral's name for it is "partial 16S ribosomal RNA". It matches the Rfam family "Bacterial small subunit ribosomal RNA", at positions 28 to 507 of the family's 1533-position model. The record is from RNAcentral.